This 467-nucleotide ribosomal RNA is filed under the name uncultured bacterium. RNAcentral's name for it is "partial 16S ribosomal RNA". It matches the Rfam family "Bacterial small subunit ribosomal RNA", at positions 29 to 507 of the family's 1533-position model. The record is from RNAcentral.
ACGAACGCUGGCGGCGUGCUUAACACCUGCAAGUCGCACGGAAAGGCCCUGCUUUUGUGGGGUGCUCGAGUGGCGAACGGGUGAGUAACACGUGAGUAACCUGCCCUUGACUUUGGGAUAACUUCAGGAAACUGGGGCUAAUACCGGAUAGGAGCUCCUGCUGCAUGGUGGGGGUUGGAAAGUUUCGGCGGUUGGGGAUGGACUCGCGGCUUAUCAGCUUGUUGGUGGGGUAGUGGCUUACCAAGGCUUUGACGGGUAGCCGGCCUGAGAGGGUGACCGGCCACAUUGGGACUGAGAUACGGCCCAGACUCCUACGGGAGGCAGCAGUGGGGAAUAUUGCACAAUGGGCGGAAGCCUGAUGCAGCAACGCCGCGUGCGGGAUGACGGCCUUCGGGGUGUAAACCGCUUUCGCCUGUGACGAAGCGUGAGUGACGGUAAUGGGUAAAGAAGCACCGGCUAACUACGUG